RNAcentral lists this ribosomal RNA (374 nucleotides) under uncultured organism. RNAcentral's name for it is "bacterial SSU rRNA". It matches the Rfam family "Bacterial small subunit ribosomal RNA", at positions 526 to 896 of the family's 1533-position model. The record is from RNAcentral.
CAGGGGGUGCAAGCGUUGCUCGGAAUCACUGGGCGUAAAGCGUGCGCAGGCGGAACGUUAAGUCGGAUGUGAAAUCCCGGGGCUCAACCCCGGAACUGCAUUCGAAACUGGCGAUCUUGAGUGCGGCAGAGGUGAGUGGAAUUCCUGGUGUAGAGGUGAAAUUCGUAGAUAUCAGGAGGAACACCGGUGGCGAAAGCGGCUCACUGGGCCGACACUGACGCUCAUGCACGAAAGCGUGGGGAGCAAACAGGAUUAGAUACCCUGGUAGUCCACGCCGUAAACGAUGGAUGCUAGCUGCUGGGAAGCCUUAUCUUUUCUCGGUGGCGUAGCCAACGCGUUAAGCAUCCCGCCUGGGAAGUACGGUCGCAAGACUA